This 148-nucleotide ribosomal RNA is filed under the name uncultured Bacillus sp. Its description in RNAcentral is "partial 16S ribosomal RNA". It matches the Rfam family "Bacterial small subunit ribosomal RNA", at positions 90 to 232 of the family's 1533-position model. Lineage: Bacteria; Bacillati; Bacillota; Bacilli; Caryophanales; Bacillaceae. The record is from RNAcentral.
GGUUAGCGGCGGACGGGUGAGUACACGUGGGCAACCUGCCUAUGAGACUGGGAUAACUCCGGGAAACCGGGGCUAAUACCGGAUAAUUCUUUUCUACUCAUGUAGAGAAGUUGAAAGAUGGUUUCGGCUAUCACUCAUAGAUGGGCCC